AAGUCUGUGCAGGUGAAGGUGUGUGAGAGCGCCCGAGAUGGCAGAACAAGAGCUACAGUGCAGGUAACUCACUCCGAAGUUUACCCGAGUGGAGCGGCGGCAUGCUUGCAGCUCGGCGGCAGCCUGUGAGAGCUGAGGGUCAGUUCUUCGAGUAGAUCUCAAGCUGCGUUUUCCUCCUUCUCCAAAGCAGGGAUGGGAAGGUGGAGGCUACUGGUUGAAGAGAAGAAAGGGGUUGGGGGAAUGCAACACCUGCAAACACUAGGGAUUGUGGGUCGAGCGGAAGAGCUAAUGAGAGCCGAGCUCAGGUAUCCCAAGUCAACCAGAAUCAAAUGCGCAGUACGCCACAAGGCAUUUAAUGCCCACAGUAACAGGGCUGUUUGACAGUGGCAGAAGAGGACGGGACUAAAGUUACUUUGUGCUGAGAGGGGGAAAGAAGCACAAAGUUUGGUCUGUUGCGUAAUUGAAUUUUUAACACUCUUAUCCACAACAAACACUUUUUCGUGUCCUGCUGUGUAAAAGACAUCAGAUAUAUUACAGAUUUUCAAACAGGCAGGCAUCAACAUUUACAUUGUAAUUCAAUAGACGCUACUACUACAAAGGAGCUUUAUUCUUCCAGCUUAAUAUGGUUGCUGCGGGAACACUGCAGGAUGAAACUGACUUUUUUUGUGGUAAUGUUUCUCCUGGUUGGGAACAACGCAAAUUAGCAAAGGCGUAAUUUAUAACCGCUGCUACCAAAGAGUGAAGUAUUUGUGGAAGUUCUGACUGGAAUCUAGCUCGUACAUAUGGAUUGUGGAAAUAAAGGAGGACGUGGAAAGCUUGCCAUAUUUUAUUUCAAGUUAAUACUAAAGCUGCCAGACUUAAUACAACUUUCUUUUAAUCUUUAUGGAUCACAUAUUUUCUGAAAAUUACAUGAUAAAACAAGG
Molecule: long non-coding RNA, 923 nt
Filed under: Homo sapiens (human)
Lineage: Eukaryota; Metazoa; Chordata; Mammalia; Primates; Hominidae
Description: GRHL2 divergent transcript, transcript variant 3 (GRHL2-DT)
Source: RNAcentral